AAAAAGUUGGACUUCUGGCAGUAUCCAUAUUUUCCUCCCUGGCUCUGUGCAGAAAGGAUGUGACAGCUGUCAGAGAACCAAAUGGAGUGAAAGUUCCCUAGAAUGGCAUUUUGACAGGGAUGACUCAAGAGUUAAGCAGGGCCAACCGUAUACCUAAAAGGCUUUUCUUACUUCAGGGAGCUCAUGCCGCACCUGCUGAGUAGAGCCCCAAGCUCAGCCUAAACACUCUGACCUGACACCCCAUGAGCAGGGGGCUGUGAGUAGCCUCCUCACUUUUCCCAGAGGACCCAGGUACAGUAAAUCUUGGACCUGAAGGUCUUGGUUCAUUUACCUUACACUGGAUAAAUAGUUCUUAUGGAGACUGGGUCAUGGGGCUGCUCAGGACUUAAGAGAUGUGCCACCUUGCAUUUGGAAAAUAUUUUAUCCAAACAAAUGGAACCUUGCUGAACACAGGUACAGGAGUCCCCUCGCUGUUCUUUCUCCUACUGGACUGUGCUUUGCCUCACUAUAGAGGAGGGGCAUCAGAGGAUUGAGCCUAACGUUUCUCUCCAGGACAUGGGGAGUACUAGGCAGUCCAUGCUUCUUUCAGCAGCUGCCUGAAACCACAGGUGGCUCCACCCAGUGCUUCACUGAAUGGAGGUCUGCUGCCUCCCGAGAAGCCCAUUCAGGCUAUCCCCCCAACAAAUCUGGCAGCUACCAACCCUCACAGGUACAUCCUGGCCAGUCCAGCACACAGAGAAGCUGUGAUGGAAAUUUUGUGCAACUCUGUUUCCAGGAACACUCUUGCAACUCUGAAGGCUUGUCUGUUUGGACUUCAAAGAAGAACAAGGUUCACUUAUGCCCAAUGGAAAAGAUCAUCUACCUCAUAUCCAGAAGACUGCAAAAUACCAUUGUGCCUCAUUGUCUCUGACUAGGUUAUGUGCCUACUCCUAAAACAAUCACUCUAAUGGUAUUUCAGUGCUCUGGAAGUUUACACUUAAGUUGUUCCAAAGAGGAAAAUGAAGGCACUAUUACCAGAAGAACUGUGAUUGGAUGCUAGGCUGCAAUUCCAAAUGAUAUUGCAAUUCAACACAUUUUGCUGCUCAGAAUUUAUACGAACCCUUCUUGUCAUAUAUACUCAUUCAAAAAAUGUCUCCACAAAAGUGUUCUUUCAUCAAUUACUGAUGGAAUGGGAAUUGUUAUCAGGUUUGGAAAAUACCUUUGCAAGAGUAACUGCUAUUUUACUUCUAAGGCAAUAGAUUAGUUUGACUGUUUUUGAAGUUUAAAUAAAUUGUAAAGAAAACUGUGUGCCCUUUUGUUGUCUUCAUUUCAACAUACUUGUAAGAUUUAUUCAUGUUGUUAAAUGUGGUUGUAGUCUCAUUGUAUGAAUAUACCAAAAACAUAUACAGUCUACUGCUGAUGGACAUUUGGGUGAUUUCCAGCUUAGAGCUAUUAUACAUGGUUGAACACAUCUAUUU
This 1457-nucleotide long non-coding RNA is filed under the name Canis lupus familiaris (dog). RNAcentral's name for it is "lncRNA (ENSCAFG00845024551.1)". Lineage: Eukaryota; Metazoa; Chordata; Mammalia; Carnivora; Canidae. The record is from RNAcentral.